This 5064-nucleotide long non-coding RNA is filed under the name Citrus sinensis (sweet orange). RNAcentral describes it as "long non-coding RNA (CSIN_LNC002313)". The record is from RNAcentral. Lineage: Eukaryota; Viridiplantae; Streptophyta; Magnoliopsida; Sapindales; Rutaceae.
GUUAACUGCAUUUCUACAAAAGUUUCAGAAGGUUGCAAAAGACUCAGGAAUUUUUACUGCACUCUUCACAGUGACAUUGGGAAAACAUCGAGGAAACCUUUUUUUUCUGUAGCAUCUUUUUUGUGCUAUUAAAAUUCUUAAUUUCUUAUAUUCUAAAAGAACAGAACUGGAUUUCAAAUGGGGUUUUAUGAAAAUUCCGAUGUUGCAAAAGCUUGAAGAGCAGGGAGGCUAUGAAUCUGAUAAUUUUAGAUGAUAUUAGGCUAUUAAACAAUCGAGGUGGUCAAAUGCAGGAAGAUGGAAGAAAUUUUUGCUAUUGAAAGAGAUGGUGUAAACGAAUAUGAAACAAAUAUGAAUUGAUUGAUGAGAUUCAGUUUGUUCAGUUAGCCUCCUUUAAUCUACUCUUUAAGUUCGAAAGGAAUUUAUAACAGAUUCAAGGUCAAAAGAAAUCCAUUUAUUUUCUUUGUUUCUUCUCAUUUGUCAAAUUCUGGAUAUCUAAAUAUAACAAAUACAUUUGGUUUUUUUUUUUUUUUUUUAAAUGAAUAAAUAAAGAUUCUCUCACAACUUCAAAAACCUAGAAUAAGUGCUUUGGAGCAUUAAUGGCAAUGGCAGCCGCAAGCACCGCCAAUAUCUGCCCUCUUUCAAACCCGUCUCCCUCCGCAAACCCUAAGCCGACCCAAAAAACCGAUCUCUCUCUUUCGUCCAAAAUCCAGCAGAAAACUCUUCUUUUUCUUCAAAAACAACAGUCCCGAACCAACAGAAGGGAAAAAAAAAAAAAUUCACUGUUUUUUCAUCACAAAUAAGGAAUACCCGGAUGAUGGUUUUGGAAAUUUUGAUGACAUAGACAAGCCACGUGAGGAGUGUGAUGUUGUGGGGAUAUACGGAGAGUCGGCGACCCUAGUGUUGAGCUUGCAUUUUCCCUGAAUUCAGACAUUACUUGGAUGGUGCUGAGCUUGCUGAUUGUAUCAGCAUAAACCCACGUAAAUGAUUCCUCGCUAACAUGGAUUGCUGUUGCUUGUGGGUCAAGCAACUUUGUUUACUAGUUGAUUCCUUGUCCUCUGAAUCAGAAAUCAUGGGAUACACUAGUUCUGAUUCCAAUCAUGCAGUAGAUUAUAAGGAUUGGUAAAUCGCUUUGAGCAGGAGAUUCAGAGCCAUAAAGCUUUGGAUUGUUAUUUGCAGAUAUGGCUUUGCUAGCCUUAUGGAGCACAUUCUUAGCGAUGUGGAAAUGGUUAAACGAUUUGAGGCGCUCGUGGUCAAAGACAGAGGAUUGAGAUUGUGGUGCCAAGAAGGUUUGCAUUGGUUUGCUUCAGGCUCAAAACAAAGCUUCAAUUCCAGGGCUCAGAAUUGAACCGUAAGCUGCUCGAUGCUGUGAAUUCAAUUGUUGGCGCUUUCAUUUCUCACUCGAUAACGGGUGGUGUGUAUUUCAUCAGCAGUUUCAACACUAACUGAAUAUCGUCAUGUAGCUAAUUUAUGGAAGCUCAUUCGAGAUAAGGCUCAAGUGUCGUUCUUGCAGGAUGUCACUAGUGUUAGUUAAGUAAACCAACAAAACAUUAUGAAGAACAAAUAGGGAAUAAUUUGAUAUGUGCCCCAGAUAACAAGCAAGAGCCAACCAUGCUUCCCACGUACUUGGACCAUGCCUGGACUUAGUUUUUAGCUUGUUUUGAAAAUAAAUGGGUUCUGGACAUGUGGAUCACUUACUACAUGUGUAAUAUUGCCCAUCUUUCCCAUUAUUUCCGUAUAUCAUGCAUUAUUGAGUUUGUGUGCAUCUUUUGUGGGUUAUAGGUAGUUAGUAAUGGAAUUGUAUGCUCCCAUUGGCUUUUAUAAAAAGCCAAGUAGAUGUUUAAAGAGAGGAGGACGAAAAAAAGAUUAUUUUCCCCAAAGUUAUUGUCUUCUCUAAAUUCUUUUCUCUCCACUGCUAUUGUUACCAAAUUCUUGCUCAUUACAUAUCAUAAUUCUUUCAUUUAGAAUUGUUUUCUAAAUCGUCAUGUAGAUAAUUUUCCCUUCACUCCUUGAUCUUAUCAUAUAAUUCUUUCAUUUAGAAAACCAUUUCAUUGAUCUCGUCAAGCAAAAGAUUAAUUUUGAGGAUUAGUUUUCAUUCCCUUUUUCUUUUGACAUCAUUUCCUUUAUGACAGUGGAAAUGGUGGUUGAUGUGUGGUCAAUUUUUUUUUUUUUUAAUGAAGAAAUUGAAAAAUUGAAGAACAAUUACAAAGGAACUCACAUCUCUCUUCUUUAGAACACUAUUAUGGUGGCUAAUCCUAGACCCAUGAAUUUAAGGAAUCUCAAACUCAUUUCAAUAUUAUGAAAACUUAAAAACAUAAUGGAAAGAAUAUAAAUUUUACUUUUAUUAAUUCAUAAGCACAAAAGUUCAACUUAUACAAGAAUUUGAAACAUAAAAAGAAUUUGAUAAAAUUAACAUUAUUUAAGAAUAUUGAUUGAUUAGAAAAGAUUGAAUUAAUUAAUUUUUAUGUUGAUUAUAGUCGGUCUUCUCUUAAUCAAUAAUUAAGAUGAAGACAAUCAUUUAAUUGAUUGAUUUUAUUAAUUAUUUUAUUUCUAUCAAUAUUAUUUGAUUCUUAUCAGUCUCAUGAUAGAUACCUUUGAAGUUGUUUUUGCUAUACAGACUUAACUUUAUAAUUCUUUUAAACAUUUAAAUCAAACUUAGAUUUGUAAAGUAAUUCCAGAGGAUAUUCGGAGAGGGCUAUAAAACUUAAAUAUCUAUAUUUUCUAUAUUUAUUUGGCAAAGAUAUAAGCCAAUCAAAGCGUAAGGGGUCUUCUAAUCAUGAAUCUGUUGAAAACUGUGGCAGCGUUUGGCCAAGAAACAUGCAGGAAUCUUCGUGCUCGGCAAAUGCAGAAUGGUGCGCCUAUCUAUCAAAUGUUUGAUCAAUUACCCUUUAUUUUUAAAUUUAUUUUUUUAAGAGAGGGAAGCGAUUGAGUUUUUAUUAAAAAAUAACAAUAAUAAUAGAAGAGUAAUUUUAAUUAAAAAAAGGUUCUACGAUCGUAUAUCAAAAGGGAGGAUCUUACUUGAUUCCUUUUGGUUUGAGAAAUCAGAAUGUUUUUGUUACUUCACAAAUUGUCAUAAAAAGACAGUUUUGAAUAAUUAUCGUUAUUUGCUUACAUUGUGCUGUAGGAUCAUUGUUUGGAAGCAUUGAUGCAGCUAAAUGUGGUCUUACUGUAAAGCUAAUGCAGGUGAGAUUUGAUACAUGCACAAAAACAUAUAUGCAUACACAUUCAUCUACACAUUCACGUAUCCUAGUUUAACGUGAAUAUGGAGCUUGAAAAAAUAAAUCUUUACUUUAGAAUAAUUAAGCCACAAAUUUUAUAUAUGUUAUGUCAUGGAGUAUAUCCAAGACUUGCUACCAUUUGGCGGGCAAAACUGCAAAGUUAGAUAUUUGUGUAUCAAUUAGACUUGACUGUCAUCUGACGUCACUGCUUCAAUGCUUAGUACACAAGUCUAAUAUCAAAAUUGGUGUCCCGGUCAUAGGCUUCACAUUCUAUUUAAGUUUUGGAUAAUGAAAUUACUUUCUUAUACAAUAUCUUUACUUGUAAUAAUAUUGUUGGACUAAGCAAGCAUCUUAUAUUGAGUGGAAGGGCAGGUUAAUCAGUAGAGAGGCCAAAACUCCUUUUGUUUUUUAAUGAGAUUGUUCCUGAUUCUGAAAGCUACCAAUUGUAGGAGGGAAGAAUGAGGGGCCAGGCCUUUGUGACAUUUCCAUCAGUUGAACUUGCUCAUCGUGCUUUGGUAUGUUUCAUACACUAAGCUAUUUGAUGUGCCAAUUCUCAAAUUUCUAGAGCAUGUCAGCUUUUGCAUAUGUAGUAUAUUUGGCACGCAGUUUUGCUUAAAUACCUACAAGUGAUUUUUUGCUUCUAUAUUUUAACCUCUGAAGUAAUUGUGAAGCAUUGUUUGUUUGUAAUCUUGACUGGUUGCAGAAUCUUGUAAAUGGAUAUGUUUUCAAGGGGAAACCAAUGAUCAUCCAGUUUGGGCGGAAUCCUGCAGCUGCAAAACCAAAUUAAAUCUCUGCUUCAACAGGAGGAAGCUCUUUAUACUGCCACUUUCAUGGUUAGUACUUUAUUAAAUAUUACCUUCUCAAGUUCCUCAGCAAGCUUUACCAAAAUCCAUGAAGUCGAGGACUUUUGUUUAUAUGUGAUUGGUGCUUCUCUGUUGAGUAAAUUGCAGCGUGAACAAACUUUACGUAAUCUUGGUGACUUAGUAUAGUUUCUGGUUUAUGCUAUUAGUGAUUUGCCUUGUAUCAGUCCUAAAUAUAAACAAACAGAACUUGGCUAAAAUUGAUACAGCUAUUUCUUUUGCAUGUCUUCAGGUACUUGCAUCGCAUCAUCUGGAAAAUGCCAUAUCUUUCUAUAAAAUGCGGACCAUUGCAGACAUGGAGUAUACGGUUGCCUACCCGAUAUCCCAGUCCUAUUAAUAAGGCAGUCCUACUAGAUCAAGGGUUCAAACCUAUAAAGGUGGCAGUCAUCCUCACCAUUGUACCCAUGAAUCUGGGAUACAAACAUGUCCGUGGUCAGCCCAAAACGGGAAGGUGAAGACCUUUUUGCUGUGCCCUGCUGAAGAUCACUCCGUAUAAAAGCACGUCAAUGGACUUGUUAACUGCAUUUCUACAAAAGUUUCAGAAGGUUGCAAAAGACUCAGGAAUUUUUACUGCACUCUUCACAGUGACAUUGGGAAAACAUCGAGGAAACCUUUUUUUUCUGUAGCAUCUUUUUUGUGCUAUUAAAAUUCUUAAUUUCUUAUAUUCUAAAAGAACAGAACUGGAUUUCAAAUGGGGUUUUAUGAAAAUUCCGAUGUUGCAAAAGCUUGAAGAGCAGGGAGGCUAUGAAUCUGAUAAUUUUAGAUGAUAUUAGGCUAUUAAACAAUCGAGGUGGUCAAAUGCAGGAAGAUGGAAGAAAUUUUUGCUAUUGAAAGAGAUGGUGUAAACGAAUAUGAAACAAAUAUGAAUUGAUUGAUGAGAUUCAGUUUGUUCAGUUAGCCUCCUUUAAUCUACUCUUUAAGUUCGAAAGGAAUUUAUAACAGAUUCAAGGUCAAAAGAAAUCCAUUUAUUUUCUUUGUUUCUUCUCAUU